UGGGGAAUAUUGGACAAUGGAGGAGACUCUGAUCCAGCAAUUCUGUGUGCACGAAGAAGGUUUUCGGAUUGUAAAGUGCUUUCAGUGGGGAAGAAGGAAGUGACGGUACCCACAGAAGAAGCGACGGCUAAAUACGUGCCAGCAGCCGCGGUAAUACGUAUGUCGCGAGCGUUAUCCGGAAUUAUUGGGCAUAAAGGGCAUCUAGGCGGACGAUCAAGUCAGGGGUGAAAACUUGCGGCUCAACUGUAAGCUUGCCUUUGAAACUGAUUGUCUAGAGUAUUGGAAAGGUGGGCGGAACUACACGAGUAGAGGUGAAAUUCGUAGAUAUGUGUAGGAAUGCCGAUGAUGAAGAUAGCUCACUGGACGAUAACUGACGCUGAAGUGCGAAAGCUAGGGGAGCGAACA
This 405-nucleotide ribosomal RNA is filed under the name uncultured Leptotrichia sp. Its description in RNAcentral is "bacterial SSU rRNA". It matches the Rfam family "Bacterial small subunit ribosomal RNA", at positions 355 to 774 of the family's 1533-position model. Lineage: Bacteria; Fusobacteriati; Fusobacteriota; Fusobacteriia; Fusobacteriales; Leptotrichiaceae. The record is from RNAcentral.